Molecule: long non-coding RNA, 1214 nt
Filed under: Rosa chinensis
Lineage: Eukaryota; Viridiplantae; Streptophyta; Magnoliopsida; Rosales; Rosaceae
Description: sRNA RchiOBHm_Chr1g0348861
Source: RNAcentral
GCCUGUGGCGGCGUUCCGGCGGUGUUCCGGCCAUGUAUGGGACUGUUUGUGGUAUUAUAUAUGUUCUAGUCGUUGAUACGAGCGUUUCGAUAUAUAAUAUGCAAAUUUUGGAGUUCGUAUGAAAUUGUUAUGAUUUUUACAGUUUCAUACCAAUCAAUUUAUUCGAUCCGUGAGGAUUCGAGCGUCCGAUCGACUUGUGGUUUGGUCACAUAGAUCGUGGACGUAUUCCGAAGACUUUGGGAGGUCUCGGAUGUGGUUUUGCCUCGAUUGGCGCCAUUUUGGGGGUUUUAGUUCAAAACAGGGGGUUUCGAACUUAAAUCAAAUGUAAAUCGUCACUAAAUUGGAAACGUAUGUGAAUAGGUACUUGACGAAGUACAGUGGACGAUUAUUUGUGAAUUGAGGGCUUUGUGUUUUGUUGAAGACGCAGCAGGAAUUCGAGGUGAGUAAUCUCACAAGGUUCUUUAAGAACAGAAAUACCAUUAUUGUUUCGGCGUUAAUCAUUUAACUGCAAACUAUAGUUGGUAUUAGUAGGCAUUCCUGAGCGAAUGUCUACGAAACAAUAUUGUGGAAAAAGAUGUUUUCUAUUGUUUGAAAAGUAUUGAGCUUGAUGUUACAUUUUUGAGUCAAGCGUGACUCAUUUUAAAUGUAUUGGUCCUUGUACCAAGGGUCACAGAUGGUGAGCAGGAGUUAGGAAAGCCGAAGCUAGAUGUUGUAACGUUUUUAGGUCGGUUGCGACUUAUUUAACGUUUAGCUUUAAGACCAGAUAGGGUCUAAGAAGAUUUCAUAUCACAGAUGGUGAUAGGUUGCAGACGGUGACCUUGACGUUUGAUUUCAUGACCAGACGGGGUCUGAAGAUCAUGUGUCACAGAUGGUGACAGAGCACAGAUGGUGAUAGAGCACAGAUGGUGACCUAAAUGUUGAUUUGAGACCAGACGGGGUCUGAAAUCACAUGUCACAGAUGGUGACAAAGGCAGGAAAUAGGUAAUCACGUCUGUAGUCGGACGAGUGAUUACAAUUUCAAUAGAGUUCUAGUUAUCUGCCAUGAUAGCUUAUGAGAGUAACGGUCGAGGUUGCUUGAGACUCAUAGGUACGUAGUUUAAAGGAGAGUUCCGAUGGUAUUCUUCUUUAAUUGUCUAGAUGAGACUUGAAUUGCUACUUGAUGGUUAAGUUAGCAAAUAGAGCAUGGUCAUAGAGGUGACUCAUGUUGUCCUUUC